This 371-nucleotide ribosomal RNA is filed under the name uncultured bacterium. RNAcentral describes it as "bacterial SSU rRNA". It matches the Rfam family "Bacterial small subunit ribosomal RNA", at positions 527 to 896 of the family's 1533-position model. The record is from RNAcentral.
AGAGGUCCCAAGCGUUGUUCGGAUUCAUUGGGCGUAAAGGGUGUGUAGGUGGCGCCGUAAGUCGGGUGUGAAAUUUCGGAGCUUAACUCCGAAACUGCAUUCGAUACUGCGGUGCUUGAGGACUGGAGAGGAGACUGGAAUUCAUGGUGUAGCAGUGAAAUGCGUAGAGAUCAUGAGGAAGACCAGUGGCGAAGGCGGGUCUCUGGACAGUUCCUGACACUGAGACACGAAGGCCAGGGGAGCAAACGGGAUUAGAUACCCCGGUAGUCCUGGCAGUAAACGGUGCACGUUUGGUGUGGGAGGAUUCGACCCCUUCUGCGCCGGAGCUAACGCGUUAAACGUGCCGCCUGGGGAGUACGGUCGCAAGRUUA